CAAGCUUAGACACCUCAGCAUGCUUCACCUUUUUAUUUUUAUUUUUUUUUCUUUCUUAAAGGGAUGAUACCCCAUCGAAGAAGAUCCUCCCACUAAAUUUACUAGCUCCUUGUGGAGCUAGUAAUCAUUCUCAAAAGUCUAUAGCAAUCCCAGCAAAUCAUGAUAGUUGAUUGUAAGCUUCGUCAUUCUAUAAUGAUUAAGAAAGGACAGGUAGGACUUGGAUAGAGAGUUCAAUAUCGCAUCUUUUUCAAGCUGCUCAUGUAAGAAAAAGCUAA
Molecule: long non-coding RNA, 275 nt
Filed under: Elaeis guineensis (African oil palm)
Lineage: Eukaryota; Viridiplantae; Streptophyta; Magnoliopsida; Arecales; Arecaceae
Description: long non-coding RNA (EGUI_LNC021308)
Source: RNAcentral